AUUGAACGCUGGCGGCAGGCCUAACACAUGCAAGUCGAGCGGAUGAAGGGAGCUUGCUCCUGGAUUCAGCGGCGGACGGGUGAGUAAUGCCUAGGAAUCUGCCUGGUAGUGGGGGAUAACGUCCGGAAACGGGCGCUAAUACCGCAUACGUCCUGAGGGAGAAAGUGGGGGAUCUUCGGACCUCACGCUAUCAGAUGAGCCUAGGUCGGAUUAGCUAGUUGGUGGGGUAAAGGCCUACCAAGGCGACGAUCCGUAACUGGUCUGAGAGGAUGAUCAGUCACACUGGAACUGAGACACGGUCCAGACUCCUACGGGAGGCAGUAGUGGGGAAUAUUGGACAAUGGGCGAAAGCCUGAUCCAGCCAUGCCGCGUGUGUGAAGAAGGUCUUCGGAUUGUAAAGCACUUUAAGUUGGGAGGAAGGGCAGUAAGUUAAUACCUUGCUGUAUUGACGUUACCAACAGAAUAAGCACCGGCUAACUUCGUG
RNAcentral lists this ribosomal RNA (484 nucleotides) under uncultured bacterium. RNAcentral describes it as "partial 16S ribosomal RNA". It matches the Rfam family "Bacterial small subunit ribosomal RNA", at positions 30 to 507 of the family's 1533-position model. The record is from RNAcentral.